This is a long non-coding RNA of Dicentrarchus labrax (European seabass), 439 nucleotides long. RefSeq lists it as uncharacterized. The record is from RefSeq and is a predicted model, not a curated record. NCBI's taxonomy places the organism in Eukaryota, Metazoa, Chordata, Actinopteri, Moronidae. The transcript has 4 exons.
AUUACCAACGUAAACAAUAUUUAUUGCUGAUCAAAUAAUAAUAAUAAUACAAGUGUUAACCAGGUGUUAAACCAGGUGUUAAACCAGCUGAUAAACCAGGUAUUAAACCAGGUGUUAAACCAGGUGUUAAACCAGGUGUUAAACCAGGUGUUAAACCAGGUAUUAAACCAGGUGUUAAACCAGGUGUUAAACCAGGUGUUAAACCAGGUAUUAAACCAGGUGUUAAACCAGGUGUUAAACCAGGCACUAAACCAGGUAUUAAACCAGGUGUUAAACCAGGUGUUAAACCAGGUAUUAAACCAGGUAUUAAACCAGGUAUUAAAUCAGGUGUUAAACCAGGUACUAAACCAGGUACUAAACCAGGUGUUAAACCAGGUACUAAACCAGGUACUAAACCAGGUACUAAACCAGGUACUAAACCAGGUGUUAAGGGUUACGU